GUUCCCUCUGUAUUUAGCUGCCUUCAGGGCAGGCAGGAAAACAAGACCUAGUCUCCGUUGCCAUGGGUUGCUAUAACAACCGCUGCACGCUCAGCAUUGCCUCCUCCCAUCCAAACACUCUCCCCUAUGUUUGUAUCUUUUGUUCUUUUGCCGAUUCUCCACUUCGGUCGCUCCCCACCCUCACCUCCCGCUGGGAAAGAAGAUCCUGAGGUUGGAGAUGAAUUAGUUUAGGGCUGGAGGAGGGAAGGUGUACAUUUAAUGCAUCUCCUUGGCGCUUGCUGACGGAAAAGGCGCAGCCCGAAGUGAUUAAACACCUCUGGAGGCAGGACUCGUGGUGGUGGUGGUGAAGUCAUGUCUGAUAAUGGCUCUGAGGAAUAUGAGGAGGAGGAGAAAUUGCCUUAUCUCGGGGAAUAUGAAGGAGAACGCAAUGAGCAAGGUGAACGGCAUGGAACUGGGAAAGCAACAUUGCCCAAUGGGGAUACAUAUGAAGGGCAAUAUGAACAUGGUAAAAGACAUGGUCAGGGGACCUACAAAUUUAAGAAUGGUGCUCGAUACAUUGGAGAAUACCAAGAAAAUAAAAAACACGGCCAAGGCACUUUUUUCUAUGCAGAUGGAUCACAAUAUGAAGGUAAAAUUGAAUCCUAAGUUAAAUAUUAUUGUUUCAACGUAA
RNAcentral lists this long non-coding RNA (670 nucleotides) under Phascolarctos cinereus (koala). RNAcentral describes it as "lncRNA (ENSPCIG00000033081.1)". Lineage: Eukaryota; Metazoa; Chordata; Mammalia; Diprotodontia; Phascolarctidae. The record is from RNAcentral.